AUACGGAGGGUGCAAGCGUUACUCGGAAUCACUGGGCGUAAAGAGCGUGUAGGCGGAUUGAUAAGUUUGAAGUGAAAUCCUAUAGCUUAACUAUAGAACUGCUUUGAAAACUGUUAAUCUAGAAUGUGGGAGAGGUAGAUGGAAUUUCUGGUGUAGGGGUAAAAUCCGUAGAGAUCAGAAGGAAUACCGAUUGCGAAGGCGAUCUACUGGAACAUUAUUGACGCUGAGAUGCGAAAGCGUGGGGAGC
RNAcentral lists this ribosomal RNA (247 nucleotides) under uncultured bacterium. RNAcentral describes it as "partial 16S ribosomal RNA". It matches the Rfam family "Bacterial small subunit ribosomal RNA", at positions 523 to 769 of the family's 1533-position model. The record is from RNAcentral.